This 72-nucleotide transfer RNA is filed under the name Bos taurus (domestic cattle). It matches the Rfam family "tRNA". Rfam says of the family: Transfer RNA (tRNA) molecules are approximately 80 nucleotides in length. RNAcentral also lists the same sequence under 2 other names. The record is from Rfam by way of RNAcentral. Lineage: Eukaryota; Metazoa; Chordata; Mammalia; Artiodactyla; Bovidae.
UCCCUGGAGGUCCAGUGGUUAAGACUCUGUGCUUCCACUGCAGGGGCAUGGGUUCGAUCCCUGACUGGGGAA